UGGGAAUGCGGCCCGAGAAUUGGGUCAAAAUGGGCGGAAAAGUUUUACAAGGAGUCGGUGACUCAUUGAUUGAAAGUUAUUAAUUGUUGGUUGGGUACUGGAAUGGAUGACACACUUUGCACGUGACAACUGAUGUUAGCUGAAGGAUAUCUGAGUUGAAUCCAAAAUGAUGGUUAUAUUUGGGGGCUAAACUUUAUGGCCGUUUCUUUUUUUAUUCAAUUAGUAAUUAUAAUAUUUGAAAUAACAGUUAAAUUUUAAAAAUUUUCAAAGUUUUGUCACCUUAUAUCUUACAACUGAAUAAAUAUAAUUAAUGGUAGUUAUGCAACCAUAUAUACACCAAGCCAUCGAUGUCAACUACCUAUGUACUAAUGAAUUAAUUUACUCAUGUUUUGGAGGACAAAAUAUGCCCACAAUUUCAAAUAUUUCCAAAUAAUUCCAACAACGACUGCAACGUUUUGAAGAAGAUGGAUUUUGGGCGGAUUUUGACAAAGAGAAGGCAGGCUUUUCGGGGAUAACACCCAAGACGUUCCAUACCGGGCAUUUUUGUGUGAGAUGAGGCAGAACUGGAGUUUGUUGUUGACUAUCCGGACAUCUUCAUAUUGGAACGGAGCUUUGGAGAAAGCAUGAAUAUUUUGUUUUAGGGGAAACUUUCACAC
Molecule: long non-coding RNA, 656 nt
Organism: Zophobas morio
Lineage: Eukaryota; Metazoa; Arthropoda; Insecta; Coleoptera; Tenebrionidae
Exons: 3
Source: RefSeq, a predicted model, not a curated record